RNAcentral lists this unclassified non-coding RNA (329 nucleotides) under soil metagenome. Its description in RNAcentral is "partial contains 5.8S ribosomal RNA, internal transcribed spacer 2, and large subunit ribosomal RNA". The stretch from base 1 to 120 matches the Rfam family "5.8S ribosomal RNA", at positions 35 to 154 of the family's 154-position model. The record is from RNAcentral.
GAUGAAGAACGUAGCGAAAUGCGAUAAGUAAUGUGAAUUGCAGAAUUCAGUGAAUCAUCGAAUCUUUGAACGCACAUUGCGCCCCCUGGUAUUCCGGGGGGCAUGCCUGUCCGAGCGUCAUUACAACCCUCAAGCUCAGCUUGGUGUUGGGCCCCGCCGCCCCGGCGGGCCCUAAAGUCAGUGGCGGUGCCGUCCGGCUCCGAGCGUAGUAAUUCUUCUCGCUCUGGAGGUCCGGUCGUGUGCUCGCCAGCAACCCCCAAUUUUUUUCAGGUUGAUCUCGGAUCAGGUAGGGAUACCCGCUGAACUUAAGCAUAUCAAUAAGCGGAGGA